Pelobates cultripes (western spadefoot toad) is the source of this 212-nucleotide non-coding RNA. Lineage: Eukaryota; Metazoa; Chordata; Amphibia; Anura; Pelobatidae. The record is from the annotation of a GenBank genome assembly.
CCCAAAUACAUAUUAACAAUCAAUUUACCCACCACCGGAAUAAUUGCCUCUCGCUGUCAGCCCGAUCCGAAUUUUUUUCAAUUACUCAGUUUGUAACUGGGUCCUUUUCCUCAAGGGUUAUACAAUUUAUAGUAAAUAUAUCCUUCCGGGGUUGAAGCCUAGUGGGGGCUCCUAUAUGAGCUAUCCUUUCUUCACUGGAUAGUAUUGUCAAC